Molecule: long non-coding RNA, 1011 nt
Organism: Oxyura jamaicensis (ruddy duck)
Lineage: Eukaryota; Metazoa; Chordata; Aves; Anseriformes; Anatidae
Exons: 3
Source: RefSeq, a predicted model, not a curated record
UCAUUAAGUUUUCAUGAACAAAAUCUCAUUUCAGUGUAAAAUGGAUGAUGUGAGCAGCCUCAUCAAAAUAGCAGUGUCUCAAGAGCGUAGAAACAACUGCUUCGGUCUGCUGCAGGCUAGUUUGUUAAUAUCCAUAAUUUACACUUGUGAGUAGUUUCUACACUGGAUAAAUAGGAUUGUCCAACAGAGGGCACAGUUUAUGUGAUAAGUCACUUUAAAACGAAUGUCACUGAGUUACAAUUAAACUUCUUGUCUGCAAGAAAGAGUGUGGAUAAAACUUACUGAGAAAAGUUUGGGUUCCCAGUUUUAAUAAAGUUCUGUUCUAUUCGAUAGGCUGCUUAUUUUCACUGCCCUGAAGUACUAUGGGAAGCAACAUUGGUUUCUGUACAGGUGGCAGCAAAAGGCUUAUCCACGAUUAAAUUUGUUGAAAUAGGAUGAAAUUUAGAAGCACAUAUGCUAUGUAUGACUCUUUGUGCGGAGUACCUUUUGUGUGGUGCUUAUAAAUUUUCUUUUCAGUCUGUCUGAUUUUCUUUGCUCUAGUAUCUCUGGAUGUUACUUAUAUUGGAUACAACAAACUAUCUUCUGGUUUUCAUUUGCUAUUUGUUCUUGUAUCAUGCAUCAGAUACAUUUCAUGUCAUAUCUUUGUAUGUGGGACCAGCAAAAUAAAUAUAGAUUCUACAACUACUUUCUAGACUGGUUUAUGUCUUCUUUUUUUCAGUAAAACAGAGCACAUCUGAGGAUCACACAAUAUUUCUGUAAGGAGUCUGAUGCUGUCCAAGGAAUGAAGCCUCUGAUAUUUCAGUUUAAAAGGUGUUCAACAGAUUGACUUGCAUGUAUCUGGAAACAACAGUUAGAACACUAGUUUUCUUUGGUUAUCUUUCUGACCUGUAUAUGCGUGAAGCUCAACAGAGGCUAGUUAAUAAUGUUAAAAAACUAUUUAUUUAAAGGAGGUCAAGUGGUUUUUGUGUUUUCAAUUAAUCCAUGUUAAAAAAAAAAGUAAAAUAAAAUCUU